Molecule: unclassified non-coding RNA, 296 nt
Filed under: rhizosphere metagenome
Description: partial ribosomal RNA internal transcribed spacer region
Source: RNAcentral
GUAGGUGAACCUGCGGAAGGAUCAUUACAGUAAUGUGAAUGAUAAGGGUUUUUGGCUGCUGGCUUGUUGUUUCAAGCAUGUGCGCACCCUUUGAUUUUAUAGUCCCAUAUACACACCUGUGCACCCAAGGUUAAUGCUUCCCAUUCGGAGCCGUCUUGAGUUGAUCAAAGGGUUUAUCACUCGAGGCUGAAGCGUUCCUUCUUUGACUUUUACACUACUGCCUGUCUAAUGCAUGUUUAAUACUCUAAGGAGUUAAAAAGUUAAUACAACUUUCAACAACGGAUCUCUUGGCUUUU